This is an RNA transcript of Vombatus ursinus (common wombat), 1143 nucleotides long. It is a transcript of the gene named zinc finger protein 69 homolog B-like, with no coding region annotated. The record is from RefSeq and is a predicted model, not a curated record. Lineage: Eukaryota; Metazoa; Chordata; Mammalia; Diprotodontia; Vombatidae. The transcript has 7 exons.
CCCAGAAUCCCUGAAGAGUGACCUGUCCAGGGAUCCCCUAAACAUCUUCCUAAGCGGUGUCCUGAGGACCGGGUUCAGCACCCUGAAGGUGAAUCCACAGAGCGCCAGUGAGCAGCUCUUCAGAAAGGUGGAGGGAUUGGAAAACAGCCCUCUGGAGCCCAAAUCCAUCCUCCUUGUGCCCAGACCUUUGCCUGGACCUUCAGCGUUGAGUCUACGAAAGGAAGAUGUCCUGGAGCUUUGGGUGAUUGGACAAGUCCCCGUCACUGGGGCCGGGGAGAAAGGACUUGAGAAAAGCCAGACGUUAAGACCAGCCUUGAGGAGAGGUGGCCACGGAGGCCUCCUGGCUCCUCGUGCUUGAAGAGAGAGCUCUGCUCUCUCAAGAUUUUGUCCUUCCGCCAAUGAGAAGGGUGAAGGAGGAGGUGGAGGGAGUGACAUCUGGGCACCUGACGGCCAAGUCCCAGGGAAACAACCAAAAAGAACCCUAAUGAAUGUCCAAAGAGGAGACUUCGGCAGCAGGCAGAAAGCUUGGAAGAAGCAUUCGCUGGACAGGGCUAGGGCAGAAUGGGAAGAUGACUGGAUCCUGGCCCAGGUCCUACCCCUGGUGAACCUGGGAAUUGGUGACGUUCCAGGAUGUGGCUGUGGACUUCACCCAGGAGGAGUGGGGGCGCUUGGAGCCGGCCCAGAAGGACCUGUACAGGGAGGUGAUGCUGGAGAACUAUCAGAACUUUGUCUCCCUUGGGCUUCCUGUUUACAAACCACAAGUGAUUUCUCAGUUGGAGAGAGGUGAAGCCCUAUGGCUCCCAGAGGGAGAUGUACCAAGAUGCACAUUUCUAGUGCUACCACCUGACAGAUUUACAGAAGAUCAGAGUUGGAAGAGGCAAUCAGAAGCCAUGUGGUGUCACUCAUACUGGAGGAAGAAUUCCCUCUAUAGCAGCCCUCAUAAGUGGCUGCCUCUUCCCUCGAGAACAAGGGUCUUGACCUUUUCUGUGACCCGAAUGCCUUUGGUGUCUGGCGACACCUUGUCCAAAGGAUCCCUUUCUCACAAUAUGAAAAAAAAAUACGUAUGAUUAUGAAGGGGGGAGUUUGGGGUGCUCUUAGAUGCACAGAGGCACCCCAAGAUCGUGGGGAAAGGCCCAAAUCACG